Molecule: ribosomal RNA, 456 nt
Filed under: uncultured bacterium
Lineage: Bacteria
Description: bacterial SSU rRNA
Rfam family: Bacterial small subunit ribosomal RNA
Source: RNAcentral
UACGGGAGGCAGCAGUGGGGAAUAUUGGACAAUGGGCGCAAGCCUGAUCCAGCCAUGCCGCGUGUGUGAAGAAGGCCUUCGGGUUGUAAAGCACUUUUGUCCGGAAAGAAAAGCUUAGGGUUAAUAACCUUGAGUCAUGACGGUACCGGAAGAAUAAGCACCGGCUAACUUCGUGCCAGCAGCCGCGGUAAUACGAAGGGUGCAAGCGUUACUCGGAAUUACUGGGCGUAAAGCGUGCGUAGGUGGUUUGUUAAGUCUGAUGUGAAAGCCCUGGGCUCAACCUGGGAAUGGCAUUGGAAACUGGCUUACUAGAGUGCGGUAGAGGGGUGUGGAAUUCCCGGUGUAGCAGUGAAAUGCGUAGAUAUCGGGAGGAACAUCUGUGGCGAAGGCGACACCCUGGACCAGGCACUGACACUGAGGCACGAAAGCGUGGGGAGCAAACAGGGAUUAGAUACC